CUACAUUCCCUUUGGAGGUAAAUUAACUCUUUCCGGCUCCUUCUUGCAAUACAACUGUAAUUUUCCAAGUGCAAUGCUUGCAGCCAAAAAGUUCAAUUAUCAUUCAAAUGCAGGCAAUUUACUUACUGGUAGGAUCAGUGCCCUUAGUUCAUAUUCGGGAGGAGGCAAACAUCAGAUGGAGCCCAUCUCUGUUCUAACCGCCCGUGGCCAACAAUCACUGGAGCACGGUUGAGACUUGUUUAGGGUUCGGAGUCCCUUAUAAGUGAGGACUCAGCCAUUAGGACCAAACAGCCCAGCAAGGAACAGCCCUAUACUGCUUGCUUGCUAAUGGCUUGGAACCCACAGCUAAGAGGGCCCUCGGUGCAGAUCGCGGCUUUGAGCUCCUUCAGUCCGAACCUAUUGGGCCUUGGAGAGUGGAGCUUGGAGCUCUGAGAAUAUGGCUCGGUGCAUCCGCGGUCACGGCCAGGCUACAUCUCCCGGAGGCCUGCCCAGAUGAGUCCCAGGAGACCAGUGCUGUAGAUUUCACAAGGCUCAGGGCCGCGGAGAACGACUCUGGCCAGGCAUGGAUCCCAGCCCCUUGGGAGACUUCAUCCGACCCACCGGGCCGCAGGGUGGCUGGUCGAGGAAGACCCCUUCACUCUUUUCCAAAAGGCCCCAACUUCAGUCCGAGGUAUGGGGGACUGGGUGAAGGGUGGGGUGAGUCCACGGCCCCCACGCUCCUCCUCACCAUCUGGCCACUCCAUGAGCCCCUCCUGAGCCCAUCCCUGUGGAGCUUGCUGCCUCCUGAAGCAGUUUGGGGCCUCCGUCCUCUCCAGCUUCUGGCUUUCCCCUGGCAUCUUCUCAUGAGUUGGGGGAGGGGAGGGAGGCUUAUACUUCCUUAUUCUGUUUUGGAGGGUAAAGAUGGCACAGGGCUGUUCAUAACGGGGGAAGGAUGCAGAAAUAGCACUAGGAAUAACAUGCAGGCAUUUGACUGCGUGUGUCCUGUUCCUUUCUUAACAGAUGGCCCUCCGGUCUGGGGUCCACCCCUCGUAACCCCCCUCAUCCUGGCCAGGGAUCUAUCUUAGCUCCUUAUUUACACAGCAAGUGUCUGGUCCUCGGCUAGGAACUGUGAGCACAUUCCUCUGUGGUGACCAAGUGGUCCUUUGUAGGGUUUGGGGGGCAGCUGAGGGCUGCCGCUCCCUGGGCAUGCAGGGUCCUGACCACACACUCUCUCCUCUCUCCCUUGAGGGAUAUGGGUCCAACUGAGGCUGAAAGUAUCAUGGGGUUGGGGGAGGCUACACCUACCUGUUUGUGCUUCUGGCUUUUCAGACUUCCCUUUCUCUGGAGCAUGAAGAUAAGGAGGGAGGCAAUCCCCUCUCAGUGAUGGACCUGGGCAUCGAUUAAAUUCCCUUAGGGGGCAGAAGUGUUGAAAAAAAAUGCGUGGCAAAAUGGCAGGGACUUUACUUGUAAAUACUGUUAAUUUCACCUAUUCUCUUCUCUGCGGAUGAAGUAUGAAAAUCGAGUAUACUUUUCUUGAAAGUAAAUCUAAGACAGUGAGCUGCAUCCUUGCGUGUUUGUUUCCACGCAAACAGGAGGCAGAGACUGCUAAUUCCCUCCCCCUGUCCUUGGUUGGAGAAUUUCAGUUGUAGUCUACCAGUCCAUGGACUCCACCAAAAGACUACAGCUCUCAGUUUCCCCCGCAACUCGGUGUGACCACCUGCCUAGGUCCUGGCCAAUGAGGUAUAAACUGAGGCGUAUCCCAGAGGCUUCCUAAGUGAGUUGACUGAUGGGCUACACCCUUUCUGCCACGUGAGAUUUCUUCCUUCUUUUGGCCUGCGGGCAGGACACCGUGGCCGAAGUGACAGCAUCUAUCCUGGGCCAUUGAGGCUGGAAAGCACAUGUUAGGUAGAUAAAGCAGAACACCGGGGUCUGGGCCCCUGAAGACCAUGGAAUCACCAAACCCGUCCUUCCUUUGAACUUUUGCAUGAUAGUGAAAUAAAUAAUGUCUAUCUUAUUUAAGCCA
This 2002-nucleotide long non-coding RNA is filed under the name Felis catus (domestic cat). Its description in RNAcentral is "lncRNA (ENSFCAG00000040243.2)". Lineage: Eukaryota; Metazoa; Chordata; Mammalia; Carnivora; Felidae. The record is from RNAcentral.